This 497-nucleotide ribosomal RNA is filed under the name uncultured bacterium. RNAcentral's name for it is "partial 16S ribosomal RNA". It matches the Rfam family "Bacterial small subunit ribosomal RNA", at positions 28 to 507 of the family's 1533-position model. The record is from RNAcentral.
GAUGAACGCUGGCGGCGUGCCUAAUACAUGCAAGUCGAGCGAACAGAUGAGUAGCUUGCUCCUCUGACGUUAGCGGCGGACGGGUGAGUAACACGUGGAUAACCUACCUAUAAGACUGUGAUAACUUCGGGAAACCGGAGCUAAUACCGGAUAAUAUAUUGAACCUCAUGGUUCAUUAGUGAAAGACGGUUUUGCUGUCACUUAUAGAUGGAUCCGCGCCGCAUUAGCUAGUUGGUAAGGUAACGGCUUACCAAGGCAACGAUGCGUAGCCGACCUGAGAGGGUGAUCGGCCACACUGGAACUGAGACAAGGUCCAGACUCCUACGGGAGGCAGCAGUAGGGAAUCUUCCGCAAUGGGCGAAAGACUGACGGAGCAACGCCGCGUGAGUGAUGAAGGUCUUCGGAUCGUAAAACUCUGUUAUUAGGGAAGAACAAAUGUGUAAGUAACUAUGCACGUCUUGACGGUACCUAAUCAGAAAGCCACGGCUAACUACGUG